AUAAUAUAGUACCGUAGACAGUAGGAGCGUAAGCUUAAUAUUUCCUACCGAGGAACUUAAAUUAUAAAUUUUAAGUUUUUUGGGUCUUACGGUUUUCGUAAGACCUUU
This 108-nucleotide small RNA is filed under the name human gut metagenome. RNAcentral's name for it is "Ribosomal protein L10 leader". It matches the Rfam family "Ribosomal protein L10 leader", at positions 8 to 126 of the family's 138-position model. Rfam says of the family: This family is a putative r-protein leader autoregulatory structure found in B. subtilis and other low-GC Gram-positive bacteria. It is located in the 5' untranslated regions of mRNAs encoding ribosomal proteins L10 and L12 (rplJ-rplL). The record is from RNAcentral.